This 408-nucleotide ribosomal RNA is filed under the name uncultured bacterium. RNAcentral's name for it is "partial 16S ribosomal RNA". It matches the Rfam family "Bacterial small subunit ribosomal RNA", at positions 28 to 526 of the family's 1533-position model. The record is from RNAcentral.
GACGAACGCUGGCGGCGUGCUUAACACAUGCAAGUCGAACGAAGUGGCGAACGGGUGAGUAACGCGUAAUCAACCUGCCCUUCAGAGGGGGACAACAGUGGGAAACGACUGCUAAUACCGCAUACGGAAGGAGGGGAUUGCGUCUGAUUAGCUAGUUGGAGGGUUAACGGCCCACCAAGGCGAUGAUCAGUAGCCGAUCUGAUGUGAUGAACGGGCAAAUUGGGACCUAGGAACGGACCAGAUUCCUACGGGAGGGAGAAGUGGGGAAUCUUCCGCAAUGGACGAAAUUCUGACGGGGCAACGCCGCGGGAGUGAUGACGGCCUUCGGGUUGUAAAUCUCUGUUAAUCGGGACGCGGUACCGAAAUAGAAAGCCACGGCUAACUACGUGCCAGCCGCCGCGGUAAUAC